GGGGGGAUGGGUUUAGAAUGACGCAAGCGCAUUACAUUUACUGAGCACCUGAUUUCUAACCUGACAGGCGGUACCAGUCCAUGACCUAGAGGUUGGGGACCCCUGCUCUAAAAGUUAAACAGAGAGUUACAAUAAGCCCCAGCAAUUCUGCUACACUCCGCUGCCUCCAUGGUACAUGACUCUGUUCUUAUCCUCAUCUCUGUGUUGUUGGAUUCACUACUAAUGACUUUUUCUUAGUUCAUAUUUUUACCUCUUUCAUGCCCUUGGCAAGGCUGGAAAUCAUUUCCCAAACCAUGCUUCCUGAGUUAUCUUCCCUUAAGAAGACAAAGGCAUCCUGUUUUGGACAACCAUCUUCAAUGACCUCCAACCCACAGGACUUUUUCAGGUGUUGCUCAUCCUCCUUAUCUGCCACGUGGCAGUUUUAUGAGGAAGGUUCAAACUGAUCUCCAAACAGAUUAGUGCUACCUAUUGAUAGCACCUGCACUGUCUACCACUAAGUAGGUCUAAGAUUCUUUGUUGAUGAUCACCCUAUCAGUUUUCUCACUGUGACCAUUCCCAACCUUUCCAGUGCUCCUCAAAUGGCUAACCAUUUCCAGCUCAUUCUCAGCAACUGACAAAAAUGACCCCUAGCACAUUGCCUGAAACCUCAAAAAAACACCAGACCCUCUCCAGCAGAUCCAGAAAAGACGGUACAGGCGGGGACCCAUUUCUCCCUUGGAAAUGAAAUUCGAAGUGACAACACCAUUUGCUUGUCAGCAUAUUUAACUUCCUACUCAAGCACGUGACCCAAGUCACCAGGUCAGAGAGGCUCCGUAGCUGGCACCUCUGAAGGCAGAAGGUACUCACCUGUGCUUGCUACCCAGGAGGCCAGGUCACCACAGUGGUGACAAGGUGAAGAUUGAUGGCUCCAAAAGCAGCGGGUUCCUAGCAGCCGGACUGCCAGGCAGGGGACUCUGGCUGGGCCGGCUCUCCUGUAGUUAUCCCUCCUACAGUUUAUAAUUUGGCACACUGGCUCUUUGCUUUUGGCAGCAGUGCAAAGGGCGUAUUGAUCUUCGAAAGCCACUUUGGCUGUUAAAGGAAACAAAAUCAGUCUUUGGAUGGAUUUCUCCUCAUAAUGCAUUUGUUCUUCACCUUGGAUAUUGGCAGGGCUGGGUCAGCCGAGGAACUCAGCCUACCAUGAGCCUUUGACAACAGAAAGCGUCUUCCACUUAAACUGAAAGUGAUUAAGAGGAAAGGAAAGACGCCAAGCAAUGGUCCAUUGUUGGGGGUGGGGGCACUUCGUUCCUGCAUCGUGACGUUGCCCUCUAGUUUGGGCGAGGGGGACUUGGGGUUUAUUUAUUGUUUCUGCGGGUUCCAUCAAAGAGUUUUUCCAGCUUCCAGAUUGAUCCUCGGAGAUUUCCAAUCCACUCUUAAAUGGGUUGCCAUUUCCUUCUCCAGGGGAUCUUCCGGACCCAGGGAUCGAACCCAGGUCUCCUGCAUCGCAGGCAGACUGUUUACCGUCUAAGCCACAUAACAACUGAAGCAAUAUAGUAACAAAUCAAUAAAGGCAUUUUUAAAAAGGUCCACAUCAGAAAAAUACAAUAUUUCUAAAGUACCAGUGACUAACCUGGCCUCAUUUACAAGUCAGCUUAGAUUGUGAUUUCUUUGCAGUCAGGCUGUCUUACUCAUUUGGUGCCUAACACAUAGCAGAGGGUACUCAAUUUGUUGGCAGAAUAAAUAAAUGAUAUAAAUAAGUGAA
Molecule: long non-coding RNA, 1738 nt
Organism: Bubalus bubalis (water buffalo)
Lineage: Eukaryota; Metazoa; Chordata; Mammalia; Artiodactyla; Bovidae
Exons: 2
Source: RefSeq, a predicted model, not a curated record